Molecule: non-coding RNA, 21 nt
Filed under: Arabidopsis thaliana (thale cress)
Lineage: Eukaryota; Viridiplantae; Streptophyta; Magnoliopsida; Brassicales; Brassicaceae
Source: RNAcentral
GAGACGACGUGUUGGUGACGG